GCUAAGAAUAUUCCGCAAUGGACGAAAGUCUGACGGAGCGACGCCGCGUGGAUGAAGAAGGCCGAAAGGUUGUAAAGUUCUUUUGUUGGGGAAGAAUAACCAUGGGAGGGAAUGCCCGUGGGAUGACAUGAACCGACGAAUAAGCCCCGGCUAACUACGUGCCAGCAGCCGCGGUAACACGUAGGGGGCGAGCGUUGUUCGGAAUUACUGGGCGUAAAGGGCAUGUAGGCGGUCUUGUAAGCUUGGCGUGAAAGACCACGGCUCAACCGUGGGAUUGCGUUGAGAACUGCGAGGCUUGAGUGACGGAGAGGGAGCUAGAAUUCCUGGUGUAGGGGUGGAAUCUGUAGAGAUCAGGAAGAAUACCAAUGGCGAAGGCAAGCUCCUGGCCGAUGACUGACGCUGAGGUGCGAAAGUGUGGGGAUCAAACAGGAUUAGAAACCCGUGUAGUCC
RNAcentral lists this ribosomal RNA (450 nucleotides) under uncultured bacterium. RNAcentral's name for it is "partial 16S ribosomal RNA". It matches the Rfam family "Bacterial small subunit ribosomal RNA", at positions 354 to 796 of the family's 1533-position model. The record is from RNAcentral.